Molecule: ribosomal RNA, 246 nt
Filed under: Triticum aestivum (bread wheat)
Lineage: Eukaryota; Viridiplantae; Streptophyta; Magnoliopsida; Poales; Poaceae
Description: partial small subunit ribosomal RNA
Source: RNAcentral
AUGCUUCUACUUUCUGUAUGGAGCUAGGAGCGUCUGCCUCUUGGACGCCCGAAGAGUGUCAAGUUUAAUCCUUGGGAUGAAGAAGACGCAUUACGGCUCCCCACUUGGGCUUACAAUUGGGAUGUGGCAUCCGAGAUGACGAACGAUGUCAAUCUCAUGUACCAAAAGUACAUUGUCGAGUUGGACACAAUUACGCCUGAGCAGGUGACGAGGACAUUACUACAGUCAUUUCUCAUGCUUGCCUGA